AAUGGAGAGCCCGGUGCAAGCGGGGUACCAGCCACUUUGGCAAAUCCGGGUGGCAAUGGGAAGCCGUGAUGCGGAGCGAAAUAAAGUAGCGAAGUCCGUGAGCCAUGCGUCAAGAAAAGCCGCUAUUGUUUAUACCGUACCCGUACCGUAAACCGACACAGGUGGAUGAGGAGAGAAUCCUAAGGCCGGCGGAAGAAGCAUUGUCAAGGAACUCGGCAAAAUGGCCCCGUAACUUAGGGAUAAGGGGUGCCUGGGAAACCAGGCCGCAGAGAAUAGGCUCAAGCAACUGUUUAGCAUAAACACAGGUCUAUGCGAAACCGAAAGGUGAGGUAUAUGGGCUGACGCCUGCCCGGUGCUGGAAGGUUAAGAGGAGAGGUUAGCGGUAACGCGAAGCUUUGAAUUUAAGCCCCAGUAAACGGCGGCCGUAACUAUAACGGUCCUAAGGUAGCGAAAUUCCUUGUCGGGUAAGUUCCGACCCGCACGAAAGGCGUAAUGAUUUGAGCGCUGUCUCGACAAUGCAUCCGGUGAAAUUGAAGUACCAGUGAAGAUGCUGGUUACCUGCGCCAGGACGGAAAGACCCCAUGGAGCUUUACUCCAGUUUGGUACUGGGACUCGGUAUUGCAUGUACAGGAUAGGUGGGAGGCUAGGAGACAGUAACGCCAGUUAUUGUGGAGCCGCUGUUGGGAUACCACCCUUGCAGUAUUGGGUUUCUAACCAGCCGCCGUGACCCGGCGGUGGGACAAUGCCAGACGGGGAGUUUGACUGGGGCGGUCGCCUCCGAAAGGGUAUCGGAGGCGCCCAAAGGUUCCCUCAGAAUGGACGGAAACCAUUCGAAGAGUGCAAAGGCAGAAGGGAGCUUGACUGCGACACCGACGGGUGGAGCAGGUACGAAAGUAGGGCUUAGUGAUCCGGUGGUAUUAAGUGGGAAUGCCAUCGCUCAACGGAUAAAAGCUACCCUGGAUAACAGGCUUAUCACUCCCAAGAGUUCACAUCGACGGAGUGGUUUGGCACCUCGAUGUCGGCUCAUCGCAUCCUGGGGCUGUAGUAGGUCCCAAGGGUUGGGCUGUUCGCCCAUUAAAGCGGUACGCGAGCUGGGUUCAGAACGUCGUGAGACAGUUCGGUCCCUAUCCGGCGUGGGCGUAGGAUAUCUGAGAGGAGCUGUCCUUAGUACGAGAGGACCGGGAUGGACGGGCCGCUGGUGCAUCGGUUAGACUGCCAAGUCUACGGCCGAGUAGCCAAGCCCGGAAGGGAUAAACGCUGAAGGCAUCUAAGCGUGAAGCCCCCCUUAAGAUGAGAUAUCCCAUUCGAAAGAAGUAGACCCCCUUGAAGACGACGAGGUAGAUAGGGCAGAGGUGGAAGUGUGGCAACACAUGGAGCUGACUGUUACUAAUCGGGUGAGGGCUUGACC
RNAcentral lists this ribosomal RNA (1408 nucleotides) under metagenome. RNAcentral describes it as "bacterial LSU rRNA". It matches the Rfam family "Bacterial large subunit ribosomal RNA", at positions 1497 to 2925 of the family's 2925-position model. The record is from RNAcentral.